GGGGCGGGAGGUGUCGGCUCCGCCCGCCUACUUAGGUGGGCGGAGACAGUCGCGUGAGUUCGGUGAGCCAGAUUCUCCCGCGCUAUUAACCAGCCCGCCCCCUUUUGCACAUGCGCGUACAUCAGUACUAGAUCCAUGGGUUGUUGAGAGGCUGUGGAGUUGCGCCUGCGCUAUAGACCUCCCUGCCGGAAGUGGGCGGAUCGUGUUCCAAAGCCUAAAGGGCGGAGGGAGAAAGCGCGGCAAAGAUCUGUGUUGCUGAAUGGAACGCUGAAUCCGGACACUGUCCCAGGUGUCCUGCUGUAGAACUACUGAGCCUAGAAAUGUAAAGACCAGAAUAUGGUCAGAGAGAACUUACUUUUCGAUUUUAAAAAGAAGACUUCAGGAGUCAAAGAGAUAUUUGAAUGCCUAUAUGCCCAGUUGGAGAACCAGUAUUCUGGCCAAAAACAAAAACAAAAAACCAGCGUAUGUUCUCAACCACAGAAGCGUUCGUCCCUAGUCAGGAAACCGUUAGGAAGAUACAUUAAAUAAGAGCCGGAAAAGAAAUCUGCAUCAAGGUAAGUGAUUUUGUGUCGUUAAAAUUGUAAAUGUUUUGAAGGUCCCUUGUGUCAGUUCAUCAACUUUAUUCCAUAACCAUUUGUGGAAAGCAUAUUAUGUUUCAUACGUGUGCACCUUACUGGAUACUAGAGAUUCAAAGAUGAAUGUAACAAUUCAACCCCUAUCCUUGAAGAGUUCACACUGUGGGGCUCAGGGAUAGGACUCCCCCUGGGCAAGGUCUUGAAAAUGGGUAUGAUGGUGCAAAGUGACUCUGAAGACUGUCUUGACCUCAAGAUGGCAGAUGGUGUCCUAUGAACAAAGUGGGGUAGCCUGGGGGGAGAGGAGAUUAGACGCCAGUGGUCAGGAACUCGUGUGUUUUCUUGAACUUCCUUUGAUACAGGGGAUGAGGCAGAAGGUGACUUGGACCACAGAGACCCGGUUAAACAGGGAGAAGCUGGAAAACUCUAAGAACGUCUCAAGCUGAGAGAGAGAUUGAGAGCAUGCAAGCAAGCGAGGAAGGGGCAGAGAGAGAGAGGGAGAUACAGAACCUGAAGCAGGCCCCAGGCUCCAAGCUGUCAGUGCAGACGACAUGGGGCUCAAACUCAAGAACUGUGAGAUCAUGACCUGAGCUGAAGUCAGAUGCUCAACCGACUGAGCCACCCAGGCGCCCCUGGACAGCUUUCACUCUCUGAAUCUCAGUUUCCUCAUCCAUAAAAUACACAAUAAAAACAUUGACCUCUCAGGAUUGUUAUGAGGAUUAAAUGAAAAUGUUUGUGAAAGUGCAUUGUAAACAGUUAACACCUGUCCACAUCGAAGGUCUGUGGAAAAUGUAUUUUUUUAAGUUUUAUUUUUUAAAAAUUGUUUCUUAAUUUUUAUUUAUGACAGAGACAGAGCAUGAGCAGGGCCGGGGGGGGGGGGGGCGCGGCAGAGAGAGGAAGACACAGAAUUGGAAGCAGGCUCCAGGCUCUGACCUUUCAGCACAGAGCCCGACGCGGGGCUUGAACUCACAGACCGCAAGAUCAUGACCUGAGCCGAAGUCGGACGCUCAACCGACUGAGCCACCCAGGCGCCCCAAGUUUUAUUUUUUUAAGUAAUCUUACAACCCAAAGUGGGACUCGAACCGAUGACCCUGAGAUCAAGAAUUGCAUGGUCUUCUGACUGAGCCAGCCAGGCGCUGCUGGAAAAUGUAUACAUGGUGAUGUUUGCCCUGUCGUCAACCCAGGUAGAGAGCUGGGAGGUGCUGAGCAGUUGGUAAAUUUUUUAGAGUGCUUUUUCUGGCAGGUGGCACUAUCUCCCCAUUUCAAAUAGCCCAAAAGCAGCUUUCAUGAAAACCCACUUAGAUUUUUUGUAAACCAUCAACACACUUUUCAAAGGUACUUCAAAAAGGCAGAAGGUUUGAACUCUUAGGGAGUAUGAACCACUUUGAAAGACACUUUGGUAUGAUCUGGUGAAACUGAAAGUAUGAGUAACCUUGCCUUAGGCGAAUAUAUUCUUUCUUUUUUUUUUAGUUAAAAAAUGUAUUGAAGUACAAUUGACAUACCGUGUUAUAUUACAGGUGUACAACAUAUCGAGUCAGUGCUUCUAUUCAUUACUCAAUGCUCACCGUGAUAAAUGUAGUUGCCAUUGGGGCGCCUCUCCCCCUCUUCCCUGGCUCACGCUCUCUCCUCUCUCUCAAAAAAAUAAAAUAGGUAAUAAAUAAAUUUUUUAAAAUGUCCCAAAUAGGCAAAUCCAUAGAAACAAAAAGUACAUUAGUGAUGGUCAGAGAAUGGGGAUGAGGGGGAAGAGACUGGUUGCUAAAGAUGUGAGGUUUCUUUUUGGGGUGAUGAAAAUGUUCUGGAAUUAGUACUGAUGGCUGCACGAAUCUUUGAGUAUACUAAAAACCACUGAAUUGUGCAUUGUUUUUUAAAAAAUGUUUAUUUAUUUUUGAGAGAGAGCGAGCAUGAGUGGGGGAGGGUCAGAGAGAGAGGGGGAGACAGUGGGUCCAAAGCAAUUUCUGUGCUGUGACCGCAGCAAGCCCGAUGCGGGGCUUGAACCCAGAACCUUGAGAUCAUGACCUGAGCCAAAGUCAACUGACUGAACCACCCAGGCGCCCCCUGAAUUGUGCACGUUAAAGAGUGAAUUUUAUGGUAAGCGACUCACAUCUUAAAACUUGUUAUAAAUAAUAUAUGUUUUUGCCUACUGUGUGCCAAGCACUGUGCCUGGCGCUGGGAUUGCAAAAAUGAGCAAAGCUAGACAGAUCUCCUACUUACACGUAGUGUAUGUCAUGUUAAAUACUGCAUCACACAAAAGAUCUUGGAAGAUCUUCAAAGGGAGGGCAAUCCUGAUUCGUAACACAACACUUCUCAGUUUUUCUGCCUUGUAGCAUUGUUGUUAUGACGAAACAAGGCUUCAAAUCUCCUUUCUCAAUGAAAGGAAGUAAAGGUGAUGCCUGCCCCCUACACCGUACCGUGAGGGUAACUAACAAGGGAAGAGAGCCCUUGAGUAUAGAAUGGAAAAGAUGAAAACAUCACGUUACAAACAUGUUUGAUUUUUUUCUGCUUUUUAUUUUAUUUUGGGAAAUUUCAAAAGAGAGAAUGAAGGAAGGAGGGAAAGUUUUUACUUGUGAAAUCUGCAUAUAGGAAAAUGCAAAAAACAUGUAUAGCUUAACAAAGAAUUAUGAAUAGUCAAUAAUAUUGUAAUAAUGUUGUCUAGGGACAGAUGGUGACUAAUUGUUUUUUUUUAGUAGGCUCCACGCCCAACAUGGGGCUGGAACUCUUGUCCCUGAGAUCAAGAGUGGCAUGCUUUGCUGACUGAGCCAGCCAGGUGCCCUUGUUUAUUUGUUUGUUUGUUUAAAAUAAAUUUUAAAAAUUAAAAAAAAUUUUUUCAGGUAACUCCACAUGCAAAGUGGGGCUCAAACUCAGAAACCUGAGAUUGAGUCACACACUCCCUUGACUGAGCCAGCUCCUGGUAUUGUCUGUCUUUUUGACUUUAGCCAUCCUAGUGGGUGUUAAAUGGUAUCUCAUCAUUUGACUUUUAUUCAUGACUAUAAUAAUGUUGAACUCAGUAGAUAUUUGUUAAAUGCAGGGAUAAUCAUGGAAAUUUCCAGUUUAAGUAGCUGCAUCAAAUUUUUACACUGGUUUUUAAAAUUAGUACUUGAAUUGUUUUCUUGUUACAAAAGUAGUACAUGCUGAAAUGACUAUCGAAAUAGUGGUUACCUUUGUGGGGAGGGAGGGAGAAAGUUAUGAUCAGGGAAGAGGAACAUGGGGUUAUCCAGGUGAUGGCAAUCUUAUUCUUGAUGUCGGUCUUAGUUGCACAGAUUAUAUUUAUAAUUAUUAUUUAAACUGUAUACAAAAAUAUAUAUGCACUUUUCUGAAUAUAUGUCACAAUAAAAAAAUGUUCUCAGUGUUGAAAA
This is a long non-coding RNA of Neofelis nebulosa (Clouded leopard), 3925 nucleotides long. RefSeq lists it as uncharacterized. NCBI's taxonomy places the organism in Eukaryota, Metazoa, Chordata, Mammalia, Carnivora, Felidae. The transcript has 3 exons. The record is from RefSeq and is a predicted model, not a curated record.